Molecule: long non-coding RNA, 2488 nt
Filed under: Nicotiana benthamiana
Lineage: Eukaryota; Viridiplantae; Streptophyta; Magnoliopsida; Solanales; Solanaceae
Description: long non-coding RNA (NBEN_LNC018995)
Source: RNAcentral
CACUAUCCACCCCAAUAGUUAUUACAAAAUUAUUACAGAUCGAAUGAAUCAAAAAAAAGUUAAGAUUAGAUCAGUGGUACCAACUACAUAUAAUCAGCCUAAUCCAGACUCAAAGCCCAAUAAUAUGAGAUAAAUCAACUUCCAGAAUCAGAUUUCCAAAAGACUUUCUCAUAUUUGGAGUGCCUCAAAGUUCCCACGAGUCUUAAAGGGACCCCGGGCAUUGCUUACACCCCAAAACAUUUCAAAAUCAAGAACAUAGUGCAGUGUGGAAAGGCUGGCUUUCAGAUGUCCCAGUUCAUAGGGAACUCAAGGUCCCAAUGCAAUGCUCAAAAGAGAGGGGCAAAACUUAAAAUUCUAGUAACAAGUGUAAGUGCACAAAAGGGAAGAGAAUUAGGGAGAGAUAGGGGAAGCUAGUGGUCAUUCCCAGUAAUUGGAAUGAUGGCACACCCCUGAGCAGCCUGCUAGUCAAGCAUUGAGUUAGGAUCCAUUGUGGAUCGAGCCAAGACCUGGACAGUAGUUAGGAUACCGUCAGGCCAAGAGCUUAACUUAGUACAUACAAGGGAAUGGGGGUAGAUGAUUCAUAACAGAAACAGAAUCAAAGGAAGGAGAUGUGAAGCACAAGCUGCAACAUGUAAGUAGUAAAGUAAACAAGAAGCCUGAAGCUGUAAAGUAAAACAUAGGGAUGAGGCAGAAUAUUUAAAUGAAGGACAUACCAGUUUCAAAGAAAUAAGUAAGAAAAAGUAGCCUUGAAAGAGCCAAAUUCUAAACAGCAAUUCCAAAAUAUCUCAAGCAAAGCAAGAUUAGUAAACGGUAUUGCUAGAAAAGUGAGUUCACUGUGUAUUUUCGUGUGUAUUUUCGUGUGUUUCUGUAUAUGAGAGAAUUGACCGAUGAUAGAAAGAGGGAGGAGUAGGUACUUAUAUAAUUUAUGAAAACAAGUAAGGUCGGAAAAGAGUGUACACACAUAGAAAUGAAUCAAUUAGUAUCAAUUAAGACAAACUAGACUCCUUUAAUUAAGGGGUCUAGGUAAAACGGCUAAUCAAGAUGGAACAAGGAGGAAAAAUUAAUAUUCUAAGGCUUGAUUAAGGUAAGGAAACCAUGUAGUUCCCAAAUAAGGCCAAAUAAAUAAUUGGUAAUUAUGGAAAGAUGGAAUAGUAGUGUGAAAAAUAAGGUAAAAAUAAGGUAUCAGUUUGAAAAUCAGUCAAAAGAUCCCGGAUCCAAUUGUAAUCACAAAGGACAUAAAGUAAUUAAGGAAAUAAAUAAUUCAAAUAUUGGUACAUAAUCACAGAGGAUACACAAGGCCAUGUAUUUAAAAAAGCAUCACCAGCCUAGGGUUUUUACACUAAAGGAUCAAAAUAAACAGUAAAUCAGUGCUGAAUCAUUAGCAUGAUUGAAAUGAUUUCAAAAAUCAAUCAUUUUAAAGGGAAGCUUUUCCCUUAUAUAUAAAGCACACAGAUCAAACCAAAUGACAGUCUAAUAAUGAAAAUUUCAGAAUCACAUACAAGUAGGAUUUUGAGUUCGAUUAGAGGCACAUCGUGAGUCUGUAAACCUAGUGUUUCAAAGCGAAACCCUACUGCCAUCUACCCAAAUAAAAACCCCCAAAUUUUAGGUUUUCAAAUAGAAUCAGAGAUAAGAAAUCAUUGAGAAAAGAAAACAUACGUGAUAGCAAACAUAUUGUAUCAAAGGCACGCUUGAGAAAAUAUCGAAACUCAAUCAGAUCUCAGAAGUUUAAACAAAGCAGGUUAGAGUUAAACUCAACAAGAAUACCAAUAAACUCUGUACAGUGAAACAAAAUUAAAGAGCAUGAACAUAUAGUGAAGAAAAUAAGGAAUAAACAACCCGUUUAAUCAUGUGAACAAAGAAUAGAAAAAGAAUCUCGUCAAACCAGGAAAGAAAAUAAGAGAACAAACUUAAGCAUGAUAAUAAAUAAACAAGUGAGCAUAAACACACAUAAGAGAGAGAAAAAGAGUCAAAAACCCAUUGAAGAAGUUUUUCUAGAAACCGUAAAUCGGAUUUGAACAAAUUUGGAAAAGCAAAUUAGGGGAAAAGUUCUAAAACAUCUAUUAAAGACCAAACAAAUCACAGAUCUGAAAGAAAUAGACGAGUAGAGAACCUUAGAAAGACUUAAAAAAUGGCAGAGAAGAACCUAGGAUGAGAAGGUCUUGAGGAAGGUCGGAUCCUGAGACGGAGAGACUCAUACUGCUUUGAACAUGCCGGAAAAUGGCCAGAGAGGCCAUGGAUCUUGCAGAUCUAAGAUAUAUCUAAAGCAAACUAUGGAAUUCAGGCCUCCAAACUUUGAAAAGCUUAAGUUAGGGGGUGAGGGAGAGUGGGUAUAGGCCAUCCAUGGGCAGGAUUGCCAUGGAUUCCUGUGAGAAUCGAAGGGGAUUAGGGUUAAUUUGGGUGGCGGAAAUUAGGAUUUGAGUGAGGAUUCAGAGAGAAUUGGAGAGGAAGGGGAUUGAAGGGAGGCUGGUUGGUGGGAAAUGAAUUAGGU